Molecule: non-coding RNA, 375 nt
Organism: Protobothrops mucrosquamatus (brown spotted pit viper)
Lineage: Eukaryota; Metazoa; Chordata; Lepidosauria; Squamata; Viperidae
Source: the annotation of a RefSeq genome assembly
AUGUCUGGAAAAUUGACUAUCUGCAAAGGAUUGCAAGAACAUGGACAGAAAUAUUGCAAAAACAUGGACAGAAGAGGAAGCACAGGACAGUCUGUGAAGCAAACAACUGGUAUUGUGACAGUGAUAGCAGGAGAAUCUGUCUUUCUCAAUUGUUCCUAUGAAGCACAAAUUAGUAGCUCAUCUUCCACAUACUGGUACAUUCAACAACCUGGUCAGCCUCUGAAGCUCUUGUUGACAGAGUAUGAAAAUGAUGCCCAAGGCUUCCAUGCUACUCAUGAUGAAGGAAAGAAAAGUGGGACUUUCAAUUCAGAGAAAGAUGCCAGUCAGCUGAAGGACUCUGCUGUCUACUUCUGUGCCUUCAGAGAGACACAAUGA